RNAcentral lists this long non-coding RNA (412 nucleotides) under Paramuricea clavata. Lineage: Eukaryota; Metazoa; Cnidaria; Anthozoa; Malacalcyonacea; Plexauridae. The record is from RNAcentral.
CGCCUUCGCCCAUUUAGUACUAGUAUAGUAUGUAGUAUAGUAUAUUUGAACUUCCAUGGCAGCAUACACUGAAUUGCAGAAGUUUUACAUUAAGAUUAGAUAGAUCAAACGGAUUGACGUGAAGCAGACCGAGGUAGACUUUGAGCUUACAAAUGGCGCUUGAGCAGCCGCUAUUAGUCCAUACCUCAUUAAUGAUCUGCCUCCAGACCUUAUGACCUUAUGUGCCUAACCCACCCUGUCAACUUUCCCUGUGGGAGGAAACACGGAGUACCCGGAGAAAACCCACGACUUUCGGCAGAGCGUUGACUUACUCUUUUCACAUUAGGACUGGGUUCCAGUCACAAUGAGAAGUCCUCAUUGAGAUUCGAACCCGCGACCUUAGAGGUGAAAGGCAAGUGCGCUAACCACUUCG